AACGAACGCUGGCGGCAUGCCUAACACAUGCGAGUCGAACGAGACCUUCGGGUCUAGUGGCGCACGGGUGCGUAACGCGUGGGAACCUGCCCUUAGGUUCGGAAUAACUCCCCGAAAGGGGUGCUAAUACCGGAUAAUGUCUUCGGACCAAAGAUUUAUCGCCUUUGGAUGGGCCCGCGUUGGAUUAGCUAGUUGGUAGGGUAAAAGCCUACCAAGGCGACGAUCCAUAGCUGGUCUGAGAGGAUGAUCAGCCACACUGGGACUGAGACACGGCCCAGACCCCUACGGGAGGCAGCAGUGGGGAAUAUUGGACAAUGGGCGAAAGCCUGAUCCAGCAAUGCCGCGUGAGUGAUGAAGGCCUUAGGGUUGUAAAGCUCUUUUACCCGGGAUGAUAAUGACAGUACCGGGAGAAUAAGCUCCGGCUAACUCCGUG
Molecule: ribosomal RNA, 433 nt
Filed under: uncultured bacterium
Lineage: Bacteria
Description: partial 16S ribosomal RNA
Rfam family: Bacterial small subunit ribosomal RNA
Source: RNAcentral